Molecule: transfer RNA, 75 nt
Filed under: Dehalococcoidales bacterium
Lineage: Bacteria; Bacillati; Chloroflexota; Dehalococcoidia; Dehalococcoidales
Also listed under: 1 other name
Description: tRNA-Gly
Rfam family: tRNA
About the family: Transfer RNA (tRNA) molecules are approximately 80 nucleotides in length. Their secondary structure includes four short double-helical elements and three loops (D, anti-codon, and T loops). Further hydrogen bonds mediate the characteristic L-shaped molecular structure. tRNAs have two regions of fundamental functional importance: the anti-codon, which is responsible for specific mRNA codon recognition, and the 3' end, to which the tRNAs corresponding amino acid is attached (by aminoacyl-tRNA synthetases). tRNAs cope with the degeneracy of the genetic code in two manners: having more than one tRNA (with a specific anti-codon) for a particular amino acid; and 'wobble' base-pairing, i.e. permitting non-standard base-pairing at the 3rd anti-codon position.
Source: RNAcentral
GCGGGAGUAACUCAGCGGUAGAGUUCCUGCCUUCCAAGCAGGCAGUCGCGGGUUCGAAUCCCGUCUCCCGCUCCA